CACUCAUUUGCCUUAAUUAGCACCUGGGAUGUCACAAUCAGUCUCCCUUUAAGAACUUGAUCUCUAAUUCUUGUUGGAUUGUUCAUGAUAGCAAAUACAAUUAAAAUAGAAUUCAAAAUCAAAAGAAAAAGACUUACGAAAGAAUAAGGAAUUUGUUUCCCUCUUAAGUAAGAUUCUUUUUUGGUCGGUCCCUUCUCCUCCUUAAGUUUUUCAUUCUUCCCCAAUCUUCUUCUUUUAUGCGUGUCUUGGUUGACUCUUUCUUGCAUUAUUCUUCUUGUUGGACAAUCUUUAAGUGACAGAUGAAGUAUUCAAACUCCCUAAGUGUGAGGACUUUACCAAUUUUAAGGAAA
RNAcentral lists this long non-coding RNA (350 nucleotides) under Carica papaya (papaya). RNAcentral's name for it is "long non-coding RNA (CPAP_LNC007877)". The record is from RNAcentral. Lineage: Eukaryota; Viridiplantae; Streptophyta; Magnoliopsida; Brassicales; Caricaceae.